This 482-nucleotide ribosomal RNA is filed under the name uncultured bacterium. RNAcentral describes it as "partial 16S ribosomal RNA". It matches the Rfam family "Bacterial small subunit ribosomal RNA", at positions 30 to 507 of the family's 1533-position model. The record is from RNAcentral.
AUUGAACGCUGGCGGCAUGCUUUACACAUGCAAGUCGAACGGUAACAGGCCGCAAGGUGCUGACGAGUGGCGAGCGGGUGAGUAAUGCAUCGGAACGUGCCCAGUCGUGGGGGAUAACUACUCGAAAGAGUAGCUAAUACCGCAUACGAUCUAUGGAUGAAAGCGGGGGACCGUAAGGCCUCGCGCGAUUGGAGCGGCCGAUGUCAGAUUAGGUAGUUGGUGGGGUAAAGGCUCACCAAGCCAACGAUCUGUAGCUGGUCUGAGAGGACAACCAGCCACACUGGGACUGAGACACGGCCCAGACUCCUACGGGAGGCAGCAGUGGGGAAUUUUGGACAAUGGGCGCAAGCCUGAUCCAGCAAUGCCGCGUGCAGGAAGAAGGCCUUCGGGUUGUAAACUGCUUUUGUACGGAACGAAACGGCUCUGGUUAAUACCCGGGGCUAAUGACGGUACCGUAAGAAUAAGCACCGGCUAACUACGUG